This 657-nucleotide long non-coding RNA is filed under the name Coturnix japonica (Japanese quail). RNAcentral describes it as "lncRNA (ENSCJPG00005012592.1)". Lineage: Eukaryota; Metazoa; Chordata; Aves; Galliformes; Phasianidae. The record is from RNAcentral.
UUCCAUUAGUUCACCCAUCCCCUGCAGUGGAUUGCAUACUGUGACUUUUUUGUUCCUGUAAUCUGAAUGCCCUGUAGGUGCUCUACUGAGCCUUUCAGCCCAGUGUAUUAUUGUGUUGCACUACCACUGCAAAGCAGCUGUGGAGCAGUGGUGCAGGAAAGCCCUAAAACUCAGGUGUGGCCUGUCUUAUUUCACUGGUGAUAAGCAGUUUCUCCACAAGUCAGAAUGGGAGUCCAGUGGCAGACUGGAUUGAGCUGAGGAUUUCUGAAUUCAUUUCAGGAGCUAAGGAAAAUCUGGAUAAAAACAGGCCAUGACCAAGUGCUAAAAACCUAAUGUGAAGAAGAGUCUCCAAUGUGUAUCAGUGCUUAGAAGAACACCAGGCAGAAAUACAAGCCAUGGUUAUGUAUUUGAUAGUUCUGAAGUUAUCAUCACUGUCUGUUUUUUGUUGUUUUUUUUCUUAAUUGCAGAAGAAUUCUCUACUAUUCAGAUUAUUUUGUUCCUGCUCAUUCCUGCUAAUCUUCUAUUUUGUUGAGAAAUAUUUCCAACUCCUUUUGUUGUUCUAUAGAACUGAAACAAUAACAUCAACAAAACUAUAUAUAAUAAGUUGUGAUUUCUUUCUUUGAAAACUCAGGGAGAAUAAAGUGGUAAAAGACCACA